UGGGGAAUAUUGGACAAUGGGCGAAAGCCUGAUCCAGCCAUGCCGCGUGUGUGAAGAAGGUCUUCGGAUUGUAAAGCACUUUAAGUUGGGAGGAAGGGCAGUAAGCGAAUACCUUGCUGUUUUGACGUUACCGACAGAAUAAGCACCGGCUAACUCUGUGCCAGCAGCCGCGGUAAUACAGAGGGUGCAAGCGUUAAUCGGAAUUACUGGGCGUAAAGCGCGCGUAGGUGGUUCGUUAAGUUGAAUGUGAAAGCCCCGGGCUCAACCUGGGAACUGCAUCCAAAAAUGGCGGGCUAGAGUAGGGCAGAGGGUGGUGGAAUGUCCUGUGUAGCGGUGAAAUGCGUAGGUAUAGGAAGGAACACCAGGGGCGAAGGCGACCACCUGGGCUCAAACUGACACUGAGGUGAGAAAGCGUGGGGAGCAAACAGG
This 429-nucleotide ribosomal RNA is filed under the name Pseudomonadota bacterium. RNAcentral's name for it is "Proteobacteria bacterium partial 16S ribosomal RNA". It matches the Rfam family "Bacterial small subunit ribosomal RNA", at positions 355 to 776 of the family's 1533-position model. Lineage: Bacteria; Pseudomonadati; Pseudomonadota. The record is from RNAcentral.